GAUGAACGCUGGCGGCGUGCCUAAUACAUGCAAGUCGAGCGAACAGAUGAGGAGCUUGCUCCUCUGACGUUAGCGGCGGACGGGUGAGUAACACGUGGAUAACCUACCUAUAAGACUGGGAUAACUUCGGGAAACCGGAGCUAAUACCGGAUAAUAUAUUGAACCGCAUGGUUCAAUAGUGAAAGACGGUUUUGCUGUCACUUAUAGAUGGAUCGGCGCCGCAUUAGCUAGUUGGUAAGGUAACGGCUUACCAAGGCAACGAUGCGUAGCCGAACUGAGAGGGUGAUCGGCCGCACUGGAACUGAGACACGGUCCAGACUCCUACGGGAGGCAGCAGUAGGGAAUCUUACGCAGUGGGCGAAAGCAUGACGGAGCAACGCCGAGUGAGUGAUGAAGGUCUUCGGAUCGUAAAACUCUGUUAUUAGGGAAGAACAAAUGUGUAAGUAACUAUGCACGUCUUGACGGUACCUAAUCAGAAAGCCACGGCUAACUACGUG
Molecule: ribosomal RNA, 497 nt
Filed under: uncultured bacterium
Lineage: Bacteria
Description: partial 16S ribosomal RNA
Rfam family: Bacterial small subunit ribosomal RNA
Source: RNAcentral